Long non-coding RNA from Ipomoea nil (Japanese morning glory), 205 nucleotides. RefSeq lists it as uncharacterized. The transcript is spliced from 2 exons. The record is from RefSeq and is a predicted model, not a curated record. NCBI's taxonomy places the organism in Eukaryota, Viridiplantae, Streptophyta, Magnoliopsida, Solanales, Convolvulaceae.
UUUGUUCUCCGGGAAACUAUUGAUGGAAAAUUCUUAUUAAACUAGUUAUUAUAAUACAUACCAUAACAGCACAGAAAAAAUCGAUUACAAUACGGCUAGUACCUAUGUCAUUGUUAAUGUUAUAUGCCCACAAACUACACUGGCAACGCUCCAGGAUUUCAUGGAAGGUGUCAAAAAAUGGAGAAGGGAAGAAUUACAAUUGGGA